Molecule: long non-coding RNA, 770 nt
Organism: Rosa chinensis
Lineage: Eukaryota; Viridiplantae; Streptophyta; Magnoliopsida; Rosales; Rosaceae
Exons: 3
Source: RefSeq, a predicted model, not a curated record
UUAACUUUCCUACUUGUAUUGCGGGUUAAUUGGUCAUUGACUAUGCUUCAACACAACGAAAAAAGCUAGAGGCUUCUUCUUCUUCUUCUUCUUCAGCCAAACUGCUACAGAUAAUUGAGAUGGAGACGGACACAGCAACCAGAUAUCUAAUAGAGAUCAAUGGUGCUUCCGGCUACUAAAUGGUGGUUUGAUACCCUUUCUUCCAAUAUAUACAUAUUCUGCAUGCCUGCCCUCUGUUUCAGAUCCUCUACUAACCAGAUUGUUACGAUUCAAAUUGGCUUACACAAGUUACAAGAAGUAAUGCACCUCAUCAGCAGCCUCCUUAUCAUGGUAUCGUGUAGUUCUUUUGGUUGUGCGCGUCAUUCCAUCUUUGUAAAUUUGAUGAAACUCAGGGGCGAGUCCCAAAAUGGAUUGCUUGAUGUUCACUAGCCUUGUCUCCCUCACCAUCACAUCAUAAGCUUUAUCCAAUCUCAUUAAUUCUGGAUCAGUUGAUGCUUGAGAUGGAUUAACUUGAUGGCCAUCAUCGAUCACUUUUGGGAAGUGGCGCUUCCUAUUUUCUUCCGGAUGUUUCGGUUUGUAAUUCAGAUUUUCAGGAAUUGCGAAUAACCUCAUGCGUGCUCUCGGUAUAAACUGUAGUUCUUCUGCUGCUGUAUGAAAAUGUGGAUGUACACAUAUCAUUUCCAGAUGUCUCCUGAAUGUGCAACCAACAUGAAGACAAAAUGGAAGAGAUUAUAUUUCCAGAAUGGGAAAAUGCAGAGAACUAAUACGUA